RNAcentral lists this ribosomal RNA (497 nucleotides) under uncultured bacterium. Its description in RNAcentral is "partial 16S ribosomal RNA". It matches the Rfam family "Bacterial small subunit ribosomal RNA", at positions 28 to 507 of the family's 1533-position model. The record is from RNAcentral.
GACGAACGCUGGCGGCGUGCCUAAUACAUGCAAGUUGAGCGCUGAAGGUUGGUACUUGUACCAACUGGAUGAGCAGCGCACGGGUGAGUAACGCGUGGGGAAUCUGCCUUUGAGCGGGGGACAACAUUUGGAAACGAAUGCUAAUACCGCAUAAAAACUUUAAACACAAGUUUUAAGUUUGAAAGAUGCAAUUGCAUCACUCAAAGAUGAUCCCGCGUUGUAUUAGCUAGUUGGUGAGGUAAAGGCUCAUCAAGGCGAUGAUACAUAGCCGACCUGAGAGGGUGAUCGGCCACAUUGGGACUGAGACACGGCCCAAACUGCUACGGGAGGCAGCAGUAGGGAAUCUUCGGCAAUGGACGAAAGUCUGACCGAGCAACGCCGCGUGAGUAAAGAAGGUUUUCGGAUCGUAAAACUCUGUUGGUAGAGAAGAACGUUGGUGAGAGUGGAAAGCUCAUCAAGUGACGGUAACUACCCAGAAAGGGACGGCUAACUACGUG